UACAGAGGGGGCAAGCGUUGUUCGGAAUUACUGGGCGUAAAGGGCGCGUAGGUGGCCUUCUAAGUUGAACGUGAAAUCCCUGGGCUCAACCCAGGAACUGCGUCCAAGACUGGGAGGCUUGAAUCCGGGAGAGGGAUGCGGAAUUCCAGGUGUAGCGGUGAAAUGCGUAGAUAUCGGAAGGAACAUCAGUGGCGAAAGCGGCUUCCUGGACCAGCACCGACGUUCAGGCACGAAAGCGUGGGGAGCAAACAGG
RNAcentral lists this ribosomal RNA (253 nucleotides) under uncultured prokaryote. RNAcentral describes it as "partial 16S ribosomal RNA". It matches the Rfam family "Bacterial small subunit ribosomal RNA", at positions 524 to 776 of the family's 1533-position model. The record is from RNAcentral.